This 163-nucleotide unclassified non-coding RNA is filed under the name uncultured Sordariomycetes. RNAcentral's name for it is "sequence contains ITS1". The record is from RNAcentral. Lineage: Eukaryota; Fungi; Ascomycota; Sordariomycetes.
CAGAGUUGCAAAACUCCCUAAACCCUUGUGAACAUACCUGUAUGUCGUUGCUUCGGCGAGCAGCCCCUGGGAGGGGACUUGCCUCCUCGUGAGGUGUUCGCCGGAGGACCAUCAAAACUAUUGUAAUAAAUGGCCUCUAUGAGAAAACUUUUUAAAUAAGUAA